This 413-nucleotide ribosomal RNA is filed under the name uncultured bacterium. Its description in RNAcentral is "bacterial SSU rRNA". It matches the Rfam family "Bacterial small subunit ribosomal RNA", at positions 355 to 794 of the family's 1533-position model. The record is from RNAcentral.
UAACGAAUCUUCCACAAUGCACGCAAGUGUGAUGGAGCGACGCCGAGUGCUGGAUGAAGUCCCUCGGGAUGUAAACAGCUGUCAGGGAUAAGAUCUAUCUCAAAGGAAGUGGCGACUAACUCUGUGCCGGCAGUCGCGGUAAUACAGAGGCCACAAGCGUUAGGCGGAAUCACUGGGCUUAAAGCGCGUGUAGGCGGAUGUCUAAGUACCUUGUGAAAUCCCACGGCUCAACCGUGGAACUGCUUGGUAUACUGGAUGUCUUGAGGUGUGCAGGGGCGACCGGAACAGACGGUGGAGCGGUGAAAUGCGUAGAUAUCGUCUGGAACGCCUGUGGUGAAGACGGGUCGCUGGGCACAUACUGACGCUGAGACGCGAAAGCCAGGGGAGCAAACGGGAUUAGAUACCCUUGUAGU